GCACCUGUAGCUCAGUGGAUAGAGCAGUGGUUUCCGGAACCAUGUGUCGGGGGUUCGAGUCCCUUCAGGUGUG
RNAcentral lists this transfer RNA (73 nucleotides) under Clostridium sp. CAG:230. It matches the Rfam family "tRNA". From Rfam's summary of the family: Transfer RNA (tRNA) molecules are approximately 80 nucleotides in length. Their secondary structure includes four short double-helical elements and three loops (D, anti-codon, and T loops). Further hydrogen bonds mediate the characteristic L-shaped molecular structure. tRNAs have two regions of fundamental functional importance: the anti-codon, which is responsible for specific mRNA codon recognition, and the 3' end, to which the tRNAs corresponding amino acid is attached (by aminoacyl-tRNA synthetases). tRNAs cope with the degeneracy of the genetic code in two manners: having more than one tRNA (with a specific anti-codon) for a particular amino acid; and 'wobble' base-pairing, i.e. permitting non-standard base-pairing at the 3rd anti-codon position. Lineage: Bacteria; Bacillati; Bacillota; Clostridia; Eubacteriales; Clostridiaceae. RNAcentral also lists the same sequence under 3 other names. The record is from Rfam by way of RNAcentral.